GGAAAGAUGUCCGAGUGGUUUAAGGUGCGCGCUUGGAAGGCGCGUGUACCCAAAAGGUACCGGGGGUUCGAAUCCCCCUCUUUCCG
Molecule: transfer RNA, 86 nt
Filed under: Treponema sp.
Lineage: Bacteria; Pseudomonadati; Spirochaetota; Spirochaetia; Treponematales; Treponemataceae
Also listed under: 1 other name
Description: tRNA-Ser
Rfam family: tRNA
About the family: Transfer RNA (tRNA) molecules are approximately 80 nucleotides in length. Their secondary structure includes four short double-helical elements and three loops (D, anti-codon, and T loops).
Source: RNAcentral